This is a long non-coding RNA of Nematostella vectensis (starlet sea anemone), 590 nucleotides long. RefSeq lists it as uncharacterized. Lineage: Eukaryota; Metazoa; Cnidaria; Anthozoa; Actiniaria; Edwardsiidae. The record is from RefSeq and is a predicted model, not a curated record. The transcript is spliced from 2 exons.
GUUAGUCUUAGGGAUUCCUCUUUGCAUUAGUUGUGAUGGGGUAGACCGAGGAUUAUGACUUAGCAGGCUCCGAUCGCGUUCAACACAGACAGUUUUUUCUCUUGCAUUAAGGACGUUCGCUAAAAAGGCAAAGGAAAUAAGAGGCUGACUUUUUCAUCGUAAUUGCAGCUUUGGGACGAGUUUAUCUGAAUAUUCAACUUGACGAGGUUUAUCCGGACUGCUGUGACACUUGCAGCCAGCAGUUAAUGAGAGAAGUGAGUGUGGGAGGUCAUUGAUGUAUAGAAGAAAAAGCAAAGGUCCAAGUGUUGACCCUUGUGGGACUCCGCAGGUAAUUGGUUGAAGGUCCGAUUCAGUGUUUCCUAAUUUGACAAACUGUUUUCUUUCAUUUAGGUAGCUUGAAAACCAUUAUUGUGGGGUAUCCCUAAUUCCAUAUUUGUACAUUUUAUCAAGUAAAAUGUUAUGGUUUAGGGUAUCAAAUGCCUUCGAGAAAUCAAGGAGAAUACCACUUUGAGAAACAGGCCCCUGGUUAAGCAGUUAUAAUCACACAAAAAAACAGACUUGAAAAAUAAACUGAUUUAUUCUGUUUUGUA